Molecule: ribosomal RNA, 468 nt
Filed under: uncultured bacterium
Lineage: Bacteria
Description: partial 16S ribosomal RNA
Rfam family: Bacterial small subunit ribosomal RNA
Source: RNAcentral
GACGAACGCUGGCGGCGUGCUUAACACAUGCAAGUCGAACGGAAAGGCCCUGCUUUUGUGGGGUGCUCGAGUGGCGAACGGGUGAGUAACACGUGAGUAACCUGCCCUUGACUUUGGGAUAACUUCAGGAAACUGGGGCUAAUAACGGAUAGGAGCUCCUGCUGCAUGGUGGGGGUUGGAAAGUUUGGGCGGUUGGGGAUGGACUCGCGGCUUAUCAGCUUGUUGGUGGGGUAGUGGCUUACCAAGGCUUUGACGGGUAGCCGGCCUGUGAGGGUGACCGGCCAGAUUGGGACUGAGAUACGGCCCAGACUCCUACGGGAGGCAGCAGUGGGGAAUAUUGCACAAUGGGCGGAAGCCUGAUGCAGCAACGCCGCGUGCGGGAUGACGGCCUUCGGGUUGUAAACCGCUUUCGCCUGUGACGAAGCGUGAGUGACGGUAAUGGGUAAAGAAGCACCGGCUAACUACGUG